Molecule: ribosomal RNA, 209 nt
Filed under: uncultured bacterium
Lineage: Bacteria
Description: partial 16S ribosomal RNA
Rfam family: Bacterial small subunit ribosomal RNA
Source: RNAcentral
UCGGAUUGUAGUCUGCAACCCGACUACAUGAAGCCGGAAUCGCUAGUAAUCGCGGAUCAGAAUGCCGCGGUGAAUACGUUCCCGGGUCUUGUACACACCGCCCGUCACACCAUGGGAGUCGGGAAUGCCCGAAGUCAGUGACCCAACCCAAGGGGAGGGAGCUGCCGAAGGCAGGCCUGGUGACUGGGGUGAAGUCGUAACAAGGUAGC